UUUUAAUUGAAGACUUGAAUGAACGGUUAUACAAAGAAGAAGCUGUCUUUUUAUAUUUUUGAAAUUAUCUUUUAAGUGAAAAGACUUAAAUUAUUUUAAGGGACGAUAAGACCCUAUAAAUCUUUAUACAAUAAAGUUUCUUAUUAAAAUUUUUCAUGUUAAAAAAAUUAAGAGCUCGCGAGUAUUAUGUUGGGGCGACAAGAAUAUUUAAUAAACUGUUCUAAAUAAAAUCAAAUAUAUUUGAAAUAAUAGUAGAUCCUAUUUAAAGACUGAAGUUUAAGUUACUUUAGGGAUAACAGCGUUAUUUUUUUUGAGAGUUCUUAUCGAAAAGAAAAGUUUGCGACCUCGAUGUUGAAUUAAAAUUUCUUAAUGGUGUAGUAGUCAUAUAAGAAAGUCUGUUCGACUUAUAAAAUUUUACGUGAUCU
RNAcentral lists this ribosomal RNA (425 nucleotides) under Galathea amamiensis. RNAcentral's name for it is "partial 16S ribosomal RNA". The stretch from base 292 to 425 matches the Rfam family "Bacterial large subunit ribosomal RNA", at positions 2473 to 2606 of the family's 2925-position model. The record is from RNAcentral. Lineage: Eukaryota; Metazoa; Arthropoda; Malacostraca; Decapoda; Galatheidae.